GCAAGUAAUCAACAACACAAAGUUCAUUAAUAAGUAUUUCCUCAGAUGCAUUAAGUUACAUUCUUUAGGUAUAAACCUCCCAGGUGCAAUGCAUCCUGGGGAAACUUGCUUUAUAUUGCGAAAAAUAUUUGUAAACUGAGGCAUUAUUUUCAAUGGAUUUUAAUUUGUAAACCGAAAAUUAUGUUAACCGAGGCAUUUGUAAAC
Molecule: non-coding RNA, 204 nt
Organism: Pelobates cultripes (western spadefoot toad)
Lineage: Eukaryota; Metazoa; Chordata; Amphibia; Anura; Pelobatidae
Source: the annotation of a GenBank genome assembly